This 400-nucleotide ribosomal RNA is filed under the name Bacillus sp. RCh62b. RNAcentral describes it as "bacterial SSU rRNA". It matches the Rfam family "Bacterial small subunit ribosomal RNA", at positions 126 to 511 of the family's 1533-position model. The record is from RNAcentral. Lineage: Bacteria; Bacillati; Bacillota; Bacilli; Caryophanales; Bacillaceae.
CUGCCUGUAAGACUGGGAUAACUCCGGGAAACCGGGGCUAAUACCGGAUGGUUGUCUGAACCGCAUGGUUCAGACAUAAAAGGUGGCUUCGGCUACCACUUACAGAUGGACCCGCGGCGCAUUAGCUAGUUGGUGAGGUAACGGCUCACCAAGGCGACGAUGCGUAGCCGACCUGAGAGGGUGAUCGGCCACACUGGGACUGAGACACGGCCCAGACUCCUACGGGAGGCAGCAGUAGGGAAUCUUCCGCAAUGGACGAAAGUCUGACGGAGCAACGCCGCGUGAGUGAUGAAGGUUUUCGGAUCGUAAAGCUCUGUUGUUAUGGAAGAACAAGUGCCGUUCAAAUAGGGCGGCCCCUUGACGGGACCUAACCACAAAGCCACGGCUAACUACGUGCCAG